GAUGAAGAACGUAGUGAAAUGCGAUAAGUAAUGUGAAUUGCAGAAUUCAGUGAAUCAUCGAAUCUUUGAACGCACAUUGCGCCCGCCAGUAUUCUGGCGGGCAUGCCUGUCUGAGCGUCAUUUCAACCCUCAAGCACGGCUUGUGUGUUGGGCCUCCGUCCUCCUCCCGGGGGACGGGCCCGAAAGGCAGCGGCGGCACCGCGUCCGGUCCUCGAGCGUAUGGGGCUUCGUCACCCGCUCUUGUAGGCCCGGCCGGCGCUUGCCGACACAUCAAUCUUUUUUCCAGGUUGACCUCGGAUCAGGUAGGGAUACCCGCUGAACUUAAGCAUAUCAAUAAGCGGAGGA
This 345-nucleotide unclassified non-coding RNA is filed under the name soil metagenome. Its description in RNAcentral is "partial contains 5.8S ribosomal RNA, internal transcribed spacer 2, and large subunit ribosomal RNA". The stretch from base 1 to 120 matches the Rfam family "5.8S ribosomal RNA", at positions 35 to 154 of the family's 154-position model. The record is from RNAcentral.